GCACCUGAGUUCAGCUCCCAUUACUGGAAAUCCAUUUUCUGCUUUUUUAAGGUUAGGUGUGUACCUUCAGCCUUGCCCCAGGCCUCUGGUUGGUUCUGUGCUGGGCUGGGAAUGUGCUGGCAGUAAUGGGGGCACCUUCCUGCACCUGCCCCUGCCUGUGCACCUGCAGACCCAUGAUGGAGCCCUGGACUUGUUCCACUUCUCUCACUUAGGAAACCUGCUGUCAGUUUCCACUGCACAGUCCCUGUCCCUAAGUCUCUGAUUGCUCAGGUUCAGCUCUGAUUCCAGAACACGUGGGUUGGGCUUUGCUCUGCCGCUUUGCACUUUCUGACCCGAGGUGAGUUUUGAAGUAUAUCUUUGACUUGGUUGUGUGAUCAGGAUGCUGGACCUUUCUUCCUCUCCUGGGCUGUUGUUUUUCUAAGUUAGUGUGUGUAAAGCAUUUAGAGAAACAUGGGCACAUGGGAGUGUCACCCCCGAGUCUCUGUCCUUGCUUCCUUACCAUGCUGUUGAGAUUCUGCUGUUGUCAAUCAGGGUGGACUUGUCUUCUCAGGACACAGGUCAUACUCUGGCUCACCUAGACCCAGAGUAUCACCUACUGUGUGGACACAGCUUUCUUUUUAUAGACACAGCCUGUGUUGGUCUUUCAUUUGCGUGUUUCUUUCCUCUGAUUUUUUAAAAAUGGGAAUUGAAUGGAGGCCCCUCUAAGUUGAGUUUCAUACCCAGUCCUGUUUUGUUUGUUUUUUGUUGUUGUUUUUGUUUUUGUUUUUAAAUAGACAGGGUUUUACUAAGCUGCUGAGCCUGGCAUUGAACUUGUGACCCUCCUCCCUCAGCCUCCCGGGUCUGGGAUAACAGGGUCUGCUGACAUUCAGGGAUGUGGCCAUUGAAUUCUCCCAGGAGGAGUGGAAGUGCCUGGUUCCUGCCCAGAGGGUGCUGUACAGGGAGGUAAUGCUGGAGACCCACAGGAACCUGGUCUCCCUAGGAUGCUGAAACAUUGUGGAUUCCAGACAGAUUGAUAUGUCACUACAAUGAGCCCUAUUCGAAGGAGGAAGAACGAAAUGUAUUGAAUCCCUUACCAACCCAAUCAGAUGGAUGAAGAUGGGCUAGUAUUUAAGAUGAAAAAGUUGCACCUUGCACAAUCACUUGCAACUCACAACUCAGACCUGCUGACUUGGGGACAAGUGAAACACCUGACUGUGGCAGCUGAACACAUGGUGAACAG
Long non-coding RNA from Sciurus carolinensis (gray squirrel), 1219 nucleotides. RefSeq lists it as uncharacterized. The transcript is spliced from 3 exons. The record is from RefSeq and is a predicted model, not a curated record. NCBI's taxonomy places the organism in Eukaryota, Metazoa, Chordata, Mammalia, Rodentia, Sciuridae.